CUUCAUUGAUGAAGUUGAGAGAUUUAAACACAUAAGCCUAAACACAUGAGUGUGGAGUGUAUAUCAAUGAGAGA
RNAcentral lists this small RNA (74 nucleotides) under Salix viminalis (osier). The record is from RNAcentral. Lineage: Eukaryota; Viridiplantae; Streptophyta; Magnoliopsida; Malpighiales; Salicaceae.